This is a small nuclear RNA of Rhinolophus ferrumequinum (greater horseshoe bat), 104 nucleotides long. NCBI's taxonomy places the organism in Eukaryota, Metazoa, Chordata, Mammalia, Chiroptera, Rhinolophidae. The record is from Ensembl.
AUGCUCUCUUGGGCAGCACAUAUACUAGAAUUGGAAUGAUACAGAAAUUAGCGUGGCCCCUGCGCAAGGAUGACGCGUCGAUUCGUGAGGCGUUCCGUAUCUUU